Molecule: small nuclear RNA, 20 nt
Filed under: synthetic construct
Source: RNAcentral
GGUUUGCCUUUUGGCUUACC